RNAcentral lists this long non-coding RNA (1234 nucleotides) under Homo sapiens (human). RNAcentral describes it as "non-protein coding lnc-HEXIM2-1:1". The record is from RNAcentral. Lineage: Eukaryota; Metazoa; Chordata; Mammalia; Primates; Hominidae.
GACUUCAGGUGAUCCACCAGCCUCAGACUCCCAAAGUGCUGAGAGGACAGGAGUGAGCCACCAUGCCCAGCCUGAUUUCAUCCUUUUAGAUGAACUGCCCUUCUGAAUUUGGGGCCUAUCAUUUUGACCUGAAUCCUGGGGGAGGAGCAGCAGUUUGGAGACAGGUAGGCGUAGGAAGGGGUGUCACCAACAGAAAGGCAGGGUAAAGACCCAGGGGAGUGAGUUUGGGAGGCAGGUGUUGGCAUGGCUGGUAAGCUGGGUACCUGUCGGGGAGGGGCUGGGACAGGUAAGUAGCUGGCCCCACUCUCCUCUGGGCCCUGCCUUCCGUAUUUCCCUCUAUCAUUGUCCUAAUCACACAGAAUCCUAAUGAUCUGUUAGCUUGACUCCAAGAUCCUGAGGGUAGGGAACCUCUUGGUCAUUGUCACCCCAGUGGCUAACACAGUGGCUGGCACAAAUGGCUUUUUGUUAAAUAUUAAAUUGAUACAUGAGCGAAUGAGUAACUGACUGAUUUCAGCCUGCCUGGUGAGGGAGUUGCUGGUAGCAAGACAGUCUGAGUGCAAAGUGUGAACGAGAGCAUUUUUGAAGAGAAUUGUCAUUUUAUUACCAUUCAGUACAGUAACACCUCUGCCUUCAUCAGUGUGGCCUAGUAGAGAACUUGCUUGAAUGCAUAUCAGUCAGGGUGAGAAAUCUGCUGUGCAGGCAGGUGUGCGAUGAUGCGGUAACCAGAUGGGCUUCUUGCAGCUUCAACCACCGCCAGCGUCAUUCACUACCCUUCAAACUAUCAGCUCUGAUUGGAGUUAAAGGAAUAAUCAGUCUCCCACAGAAGUAGGACCUAUUUCUCUUCCUUCAAAACAAUCCUCAAAGCCUGUGAAUCCCCUCCAGUGUGCUUAUUAUGCAGUUAGCUCUGCUCGUGGCUGCAGAGACAGCUCGUUUUGCAUUCCUAGAAGCCCCUCUCAGGGCUGGGCAUGCUUCGGUGGGUUUUGAGUGGUGAGAAGUGCUUUUCUCAGAGGCUGCAUUCCACAUGAGGCCUAAUAAACAGAUAAAACGUGUCUGCAAUUAGUGGCAUCUCUGCACGCAGACUUAAUGUGCUGAAGGCUGUUUGUUGAUUUUUUUGCACUGUUCAAAGCAAUGCCACAAGCUGUUUGGGCCAGACGUUGGCUUAGAGAGCCCCGUCUUCCCAUGAAAAGGACAAUGCAGUGAUACAAAAGAGCCCAAUGGGUUGAGCUACAUCUAU